AACGCGAAGAACCUUACCUACUCUUGACAUCCACGGAAUUUGGCAGAGAUGCCUUAGUGCCUUCGGGAACCGUGAGACAGGUGCUGCAUGGCUGUCGUCAGCUCGUGUUGUGAAAUGUUGGGUUAAGUCCCGCAACGAGCGCAACCCUUAUCCUUUGUUGCCAGCGAUUCGGUCGGGAACUCAAAGGAGACUGCCGGUGAUAAACCGGAGGAAGGUGGGGAUGACGUCAAGUCAUCAUGGCCCUUACGAGUAGGGCUACACACGUGCUACAAUGGCGCAUACAAAGAGAAGCGAUCUCGCGAGAGCAAGCGGACCUCACAAAGUGCGUCGUAGUCCGGAUCGGAGUCUGCAACUCGACUCCGUGAAGUCGGAAUCGCUAGUAAUCGUGGAUCAGAAUGCCACGGUGAAUACGUCCCCGGGGCUUGUACACACCG
This 434-nucleotide ribosomal RNA is filed under the name uncultured Gammaproteobacteria bacterium. RNAcentral describes it as "bacterial SSU rRNA". It matches the Rfam family "Bacterial small subunit ribosomal RNA", at positions 958 to 1392 of the family's 1533-position model. Lineage: Bacteria; Pseudomonadati; Pseudomonadota; Gammaproteobacteria. The record is from RNAcentral.